RNAcentral lists this ribosomal RNA (492 nucleotides) under uncultured bacterium. RNAcentral describes it as "partial 16S ribosomal RNA". It matches the Rfam family "Bacterial small subunit ribosomal RNA", at positions 36 to 507 of the family's 1533-position model. The record is from RNAcentral.
CUUUCCCUCUUUCUUUAGGCCUAACACAUGCAAGUCGAACGGCAGCACAGUAAGAGCUUGCUCUUACGGGUGGCGAGUGGCGGACGGGUGAGGAAUACAUCGGAAUCUACUUUUUCGUGGGGGAUAACGUAGGGAAACUUACGCUAAUACCGCAUACGACCUACGGGCGAAAGCAGGGGAUCUUCGGACCUUGCGCGAUUGAAUGAGCCGAUGUCGGAUUAGCUAGUUGGCGGGGUAAAGGCCCACCAAGGCGACGAUCCGUAGCUGGUCUGAGAGGAUGAUCAGCCACACUGGAACUGAGACACGGUCCAGACUCCUACGGGAGGCAGCAGUGGGGAAUAUUGGACAAUGGGCGCAAGCCUGAUCCAGCCAUACCGCGUGGGUGAAGAAGGCCUUCGGGUUGUAAAGCCCUUUUGUUGGGAAAGAAAAGCAGCAGGUUAAUACCCCGCUGUUCUGACGGUACCCAAAGAAUAAGCACCGGCUAACUUCGUG